AAAGGUUUACCAAAUUAAUCGUUUAAUGGAGCAUAGACUCAAUCCAAGAUGACUCUGAACAAGGGAAAUUUCCUCUCAAAUGUCCAUGAUGACCCGGUUAGUCUAGAGAACAUAGUAUUUAUACCAUAACAAGCGUUCCAAUCCAUGGAGUAAGGCAGGAAAUGGCAUCCGCAGGUAAGAUCUUCAUGUUGAUCAUAGUCAUCAUAGCUCAUGUGUUCUUAGCAACAGCAUAUGCAGCCACUCAAGGCCAAUCGCAGGUUUAUACAUCCAGGAUUCCUUUUGUAGAGCGUAGACGUUAUUGCUCUCCACCGCCUCCACCUUCGUCAGGGCCAUUUACUAAUCCCUAAGCUUCUUAUUUAUACUCUCAAGUCUGUGCUUCUUUUAUUCAGUAUGGCUGUAAACAGGAAUGCGAACUUGUAAAUUCCUCCAUAUGAUUGCAGUAUCCGUUAAUGACUAGCAAUGGAAUAUUGUGCUAAAAUAAGAGAGGGAUAUAAUUCGUAUCUUAAAUGAAGCCACUCCCUUCAAUUCCAUGAACUCCUUUUAUUCAUUGUAUUUUUCUUAUGAUAUGUUUUUUAAAAAAAAUAUGACUUACUCAA
This is a long non-coding RNA of Dioscorea cayenensis subsp. rotundata (Guinea yam), 596 nucleotides long. RefSeq lists it as uncharacterized. The transcript is spliced from 2 exons. NCBI's taxonomy places the organism in Eukaryota, Viridiplantae, Streptophyta, Magnoliopsida, Dioscoreales, Dioscoreaceae. The record is from RefSeq and is a predicted model, not a curated record.